GACGAACGCUGGCGGCGUGCUUAACACAUGCAAGUCGAACGGAAAGACCCUGCUUUUGUGGGGUGCUCGAGUGGCCAACGGGUGAGUAACACGUGAGUAACCUGCCCUUGACUUUGGGAUAACUUCAGGAAACUGGGGCUAAUACCGGAUAGGAGCUCCUGCUGCAUGGUGGGGGUUGGAAAGUUUCGGCGGUUGGGGAUGGACUCGCGGCUUAUCAGCUUGUUGGUGGGGUAGUGGCUUACCAAGGCUUUGACGGGUAGCCGGCCUGAGAGGGUGACCGGCCACAUUGGGACUGAGAUACGGCCCAGACUCCUACGGGAGGCAGCAGUGGGGAAUAUUGCACAAUGGGCGGAAGCCUGAUGCAGCAACGCCGCGUGCGGGAUGACGGCCUUCGGGUUGUAAACCGCUUUCGCCUGUGACGAAGCGUGAGUGACGGUAAUGGGUAAAGAAGCACCGGCUAACUACGUG
Molecule: ribosomal RNA, 468 nt
Filed under: uncultured bacterium
Lineage: Bacteria
Description: partial 16S ribosomal RNA
Rfam family: Bacterial small subunit ribosomal RNA
Source: RNAcentral